GGGUAGUAGAACAAUGGGAUUAUGCUGUCACAAAAAACAAAGAAAAAACAUAAUUUCUUAAAUCAUGGUCUGUCACUGAAUCUGGUUAUAAAACCUUAUCUUGCACUAGAAGGAUCUGUAGCUUUUCCAGCUGAGAAUGGGGUUCAGGAUACCGAAUCAACACUAGAAAAGAGAGAAACUGGGGAUGAAGAAAACUCAGCUAAAUUUCCUAUAGGAAGGAGAGAUUUUGACAUAUUCUCAGACCACUUCUACCAAAACAUAAAUCUGUGAUUGUGAUCUCUGAAAGUCAGUCCUUUUAUCUACUCAAAAGAAGACACUAAGGUUUUCAGAAAUUAAAUUGCUUUUUGGAAAAGGUGGGAGAUUCUGGGAACAUAGAAACUUGAAUCCAGUUUUCUUCAACUCCACGUCAAGACAGUUGCAUUGUGUGAGAAAAUAGCUACGGCCAUUUGUGAAGUGUGAAACUGUCAGGAAGACAGAUGAAAUGAUUUGCCUGAGGCCGUAUCAUCAAACAAGAAAUUCAUAUUCACCUUUCUGGAAUUCUUAGGAUAAUGAUUACAUGUGUUCAAUUGUUAAAAAUUGGCAGAUAAAAUUUUAUGUAUUUACCACGUACAACAUGAAAUUUUGAAAC
This 628-nucleotide long non-coding RNA is filed under the name Homo sapiens (human). RNAcentral describes it as "non-protein coding lnc-BDP1-4:4". Lineage: Eukaryota; Metazoa; Chordata; Mammalia; Primates; Hominidae. The record is from RNAcentral.